RNAcentral lists this ribosomal RNA (183 nucleotides) under Lactiplantibacillus plantarum. Its description in RNAcentral is "partial 16S ribosomal RNA". It matches the Rfam family "Bacterial small subunit ribosomal RNA", at positions 1 to 162 of the family's 1533-position model. The record is from RNAcentral. Lineage: Bacteria; Bacillati; Bacillota; Bacilli; Lactobacillales; Lactobacillaceae.
UAAUUUGAGAGUUUGAUCCUGGCUCAGGACGAACGCUGGCGGCGUGCCUAAUACAUGCAAGUCGAACGAGCUCUGGUAUUGAUUGGUGCUUGCAUCAUGAUUUACAUUUGAGUGAGUGGCGAACUGGUGAGUAACACGUGGGAAACCUGCCCAGAAGCGGGGGAUAACACCUGGAAACAGAUG